Molecule: long non-coding RNA, 1427 nt
Filed under: Zonotrichia albicollis (white-throated sparrow)
Lineage: Eukaryota; Metazoa; Chordata; Aves; Passeriformes; Passerellidae
Description: lncRNA (ENSZALG00000000715.1)
Source: RNAcentral
AUGAGCUCCCCAAUAUCUCCUGGGAUGAUAGGCUGCGUCAGGAAAAGCUGUGAAUCCUUGCAGCUGCCCCAGAGCACCCAGCUCUGCUUGCAGUCACUCAUGGUUUCUCUUCUGGUUUGUGCUAAAGAAAUGCAGCGGGAAAAAGCUCUGCAGAGGAACACAGAACGUAUCUUGCAAAUAGAUGUGAAUGAGUAUUAUGCCCAGCUUGAGAAGAAGAAAGCAGAAAUGGAUAAAAUAAUACUGGGAAGGAAGCACAUACGGAGGCAAAAUUUGCUGAAGUGGCUGGUUCAAAGGCAUCAGCGGGAAGUAAAAGCCUUAGAGGAGGAGGAGAGGCAGAAGGAGGAAGAAAGGCGGAAGGAGGAAGAGAGGCGGAAGGAGGACAAGAAGGGUGUCUCUGUGGGUAUCCAACCUCCAAAACCAGAGAAGGGGAAAACCAAACCCCCAGAGAAGGGGGAAACCAAAUCACCAGAGGGGAAGGAAACCAAGGCCCCAGAGAAGGAAAACAAAGCCCCAGAGAAGAAAAGCAAACCUUCAGAAAAGAAGGAAACCAAAAUACCAGAGAAGAAAAACAAACCUCCAGAAAAGAAGGAAACCAAAAUACCAGAGAAGAAGGAAACCAAAAUCUCAAAGAAGGAAACCAAAAUCCCAGAGAAGGAGGAAAGCAAAAUCCUAAAGAAGGAAACCAAACCCCCAGAGAAGAAAAGCAAACCUCCAGAAAAGGAAACCAAAUCCCCAGAGUGGAAGGAAUCCAAAAUCCCAGUGAAGGAAACCAAAGCUCCAAAGAAGGGGGAAGUAAAAGCCCCAGAGAAGAUGGAACCCAAAGCCCGAAAGACAGGUGAAACCAAGACCUCAAAGAAGGGUGAAAGCAAAGCCCCAGAGAACAGGGGAACCAAAGCCCCAAAGAAGGCGGGAACCAAAGUCCCAAAUAUGGGGGGAACCAAAAUCUCAGAGGAUGCAGCUGAGAUAGAGAACUUGUUCCUGAGGUUUCAGACGUAUGAGUCAUUGCAGCAGAAUUUCUCCUACUGGAACAGGGUUCAGGGUACCGUGCGGUCACCUGUUAUCCAAAAGAGAAACAAGUCCCAGUAUGCAGCUGAAAACAAAGGUCAGAAGACCAAUAAGCCUCAGGAGAAGGUGAAGAAGCCCGAACAAAAAAUGUAGAGACCAAAGGAAUCUUUAAUCGUCUCAGCUGGAGGUGCAAAGUUGCAGAGGGAGCAGUCAGAUGAUGAUGUUCCACAAUGACUGGGUAUCAUCUGUGUUGAUAGGAAGGUUACCACCUCUGGGGACUCAGUUUCUUCACGCAGGGAAAGACCAUUCUUUAUUCACUCUACUUAGUUUAUACAGUUUCAGACUUUGUGAGCAACUUUAAUUAGUUAAUAGAUUUGUUUCUUAUUAUUCUAUUGAUUAAUAAAAUAUAUUUUACUUGUACA